Molecule: non-coding RNA, 419 nt
Filed under: Gilliamella apis SCGC AB-598-P17
Lineage: Bacteria; Pseudomonadati; Pseudomonadota; Gammaproteobacteria; Orbales; Orbaceae
Description: bacterial SSU rRNA
Rfam family: Bacterial small subunit ribosomal RNA
Source: RNAcentral
AAUGUAUGGGGAUCUGCCGAAUGGAGGGGGACAACAGUUGGAAACGACUGCUAAUACCGCAUAAUGUUGAGAAACCAAAGCAUGGGACCUUCGGGCCAUGCGCCAUUUGAUGAACCCAUAUGGGAUUAGCUAGUUGGUAGGGUAAAGGCUUACCAAGGCGACGAUCUCUAGCUGGUCUGAGAGGAUGACCAGCCACACUGGAACUGAGACACGGUCCAGACUCCUACGGGAGGCAGCAGUGGGGAAUAUUGCACAAUGGGGGAAACCCUGAUGCAGCCAUGCCGCGUGUAUGAAGAAGGCCUUCGGGUUGUAAAGUACUUUCGGUAAUGAGAAAGGUGAUGUAUCUAAUAGGUGCAUCAAUUGACGUUAAUUACAGAAGAAGCACCGGCUAACUCCGUGCCAGCAGCCGCGGUAAUACG